This 486-nucleotide ribosomal RNA is filed under the name Triticum aestivum (bread wheat). Its description in RNAcentral is "partial small subunit ribosomal RNA". Lineage: Eukaryota; Viridiplantae; Streptophyta; Magnoliopsida; Poales; Poaceae. The record is from RNAcentral.
AUGAUGAGAGAGAAAUCGUCCGUUUGGGGGGCGUCAAAAACAAACAAGCAAGCAGGGAGGGAAUCACGGCCGGCCACAGUGGAGCGGGGGCAUGCGGGCGCUGUUCCCUUCGCCUUCACCUUCUCUCACCCAGCUCGCCUUGCUUCUGACACAGCACAACCCCUCUAUGAAGUACGCUCGGUUUCUUUCCUGAUAGUGCAAGCAAAGCAAGCGCCAGACACACACCACCUAUUAUUUCCUCUCCAUCAGUCCAUCUUUUUCUUUUUGGUUAUUAUUUACACCAAGGGCGAGCGAGCACUAGAAGAAAACAGCCUAGCCUUGCCUUGCCAUCUGCCCAAGCUUCUCCCUUCUCUCUCUCUCUCUGCCCCUCUGGCUAAGCACAGCGCAGCAGAGACGGAUCCUCCGUCUCCACACUUUGACACUAUUAUUUUCCUUGUAGUAUUGCCGUGGGUGUGCCUGGCUGCCUUUGGGAAAGGGAGGCCCUAG